ACCUGAGGAGUUACGCAACAGUUUGAGGAAGGACCAGAUUAAAAGUAAUGAGAAGCAGCUGCUCGCCUGUAGAAACUCAACACAAAGUUCAGACAAGUUACAUUCAUGAAGUUCGUUUUCUGUUCCUCAACAACAAAACUCUCUGUUCUCAUCUUCUAAAGAAAGAAAUGGGAUUCUAUGAAGAUUGUGUCUGGAGGAGCAAUGGAGCGUUGCUGGUUUCAGUUUGUCCGCAUGUUCCUCCAGAUAUAACUGGAGGAGAUAAGAAGUCCUUUCAGAAGAACAUCAACAUUUAAAAAGCCAUCCGUCAUCCUGACAAAUGUAUCAUUUAAUAGUUAUAGCUAAACGUUGAACUACAUAUAAACUUCAUUAACAAAACCUAUAGGACAUAAAUUACAAUGUAUUGAAUCAGUUUUUCUAGUUUUAUUUAUUUUUUUAUCUUAAUAAAUAUUUUUUAAUGGUUUAUUAAAUUGUGGCAACUUUUGGCUCUCAGUUUCAUACUGAAUAUGUUUACAAGAAACAUAAAAAUUAAAGAUAUUUUCUCUUCAAA
This is a long non-coding RNA of Girardinichthys multiradiatus, 547 nucleotides long. RefSeq lists it as uncharacterized. The transcript is spliced from 2 exons. The record is from RefSeq and is a predicted model, not a curated record. NCBI's taxonomy places the organism in Eukaryota, Metazoa, Chordata, Actinopteri, Cyprinodontiformes, Goodeidae.